RNAcentral lists this long non-coding RNA (609 nucleotides) under Triticum aestivum (bread wheat). RNAcentral describes it as "long non-coding RNA (TAES_LNC028625)". Lineage: Eukaryota; Viridiplantae; Streptophyta; Magnoliopsida; Poales; Poaceae. The record is from RNAcentral.
UAAGAAAUACAGUUUUGUUAAAGCAUAUCUAGAAAGAAAUUUCUGUCUGCUAUAAUGGAGGGGAAAGCUAUUCUUCUUUGCCUUAUGGUGAUUGUGCAGCUAGGAAACUCCAUACAUACUGGUUCAGAAUCAAUCUCCCCAUCCAUAUAUACGUUUCUGUUCUACUGGUAACCGGAGUACAUGAUUUUUUUUUUUUUUGUAAAUCUCAGUUUGGACUUGUUUUAAUGAUGUUUGUUCUUGUCUAUAGAGCAAUGCCAGAAGCGAAUUGGUUUUCUAAGCCCUUCGUGCACGGAACCAAAUUGCAAGAGGGCCUGCCAGAAUAUUUGGGGACGUGACGUCAUGAUAUCGGAGUGUUGGGUGGAAAACCCAUCGACGGCAUAUUGUUACUGUGUCGUAUGUUUCUAAAGUUGCACUAAACCUGAUGUCAAAGGACGGACAAUGGUGUGAUCUGUAAUAAAGUCUUCUUGUGACAUGCUUGUGACAAUGCGUAUUGAUCAUCAAUUAUUUUGGAUGUUCUAUUUUACUUUGCAAUGCACAAUCAUAGAUUUGGCGAUUUUGUCUUUGCAUGGUAUCCCAGUUAACCUAAUGCUGAAACAUGAUCUUCUGGCC